Non-coding RNA from Artomyces pyxidatus, 84 nucleotides. The record is from the annotation of a GenBank genome assembly. NCBI's taxonomy places the organism in Eukaryota, Fungi, Basidiomycota, Agaricomycetes, Russulales, Auriscalpiaceae.
GGUCUUAUAGUGUAGUGGUUUAGCACACGAGGUUUUGAUUUCAUGAUCUUCCUCGUGACCCAGGUUCGAACCCUGGUAAGACCU